This is a small nucleolar RNA of Nannospalax galili (Upper Galilee mountains blind mole rat), 128 nucleotides long. The record is from Ensembl. NCBI's taxonomy places the organism in Eukaryota, Metazoa, Chordata, Mammalia, Rodentia, Spalacidae.
UGCUCUAUAUGUGCGUGUUUAUUCAACUGGUGGACAAAGACAUGAAAGACAGGUGCAAAAAUACACUCUCUUUGCAACCCAGAACUCAUUGAUCAGUAUGAGCUUUGAUUCAUACAAGAAGGAAUAUG